This is a long non-coding RNA of Olea europaea var. sylvestris, 837 nucleotides long. RefSeq lists it as uncharacterized. The record is from RefSeq and is a predicted model, not a curated record. NCBI's taxonomy places the organism in Eukaryota, Viridiplantae, Streptophyta, Magnoliopsida, Lamiales, Oleaceae. The transcript is spliced from 3 exons.
UCCUCCCCAAACUCCUCCACCAUGCUCCAUCUUGGUCUCGAUCCAUAGCCAUUAGCCAACAGUCCAUGGCUAGCUGCCAACGUCACAAUUGGUUGGAAGAAUUUCUAAGAAAAUGGCAUUUACACUACUAAUUCAUUCAUGUUGGAAAGAUCUUUGUCUGGUGUCUGCCAACCAAAAACAUAUACCAUACUAAAGAAGCUGAUGUUAUUUGGGAGUUCGUUUCUCAUUUGGACAAUAUUAUCAACAUUAUCACUUCCUUCCAUAAGCGCAUUAUAGAGUUACAAUCUGCUCAAAGAAAUGAAAUUGAGCAUAUGUUAGCUACAGGGGAGUGUGAGUCUGGAAGAGGAGCAAAUCAAGUGAAUAAUUUACAACGAUCAGGAGCAACUCAUUGAAGUUCUCAUAAUGACUCUAUAAAGAGCUUAAUAGAUACGUACACUACAACUUGCAAGGUGUUUGAAAAUCAUAUUGUCCAUUGUCCAAAUGUAAGAUCUCGGGGCGAAGUUUGUGGACUUACAAACAUAUGAAAAUUUCUAAUUGUGUUCAGUUUGCAUUUAAUGCAUAACAUCAUGAGAUUAACCGAUAAUCUUUGUCAGGCACUCAAAGGGAAUCUUUAAUCAUCUUGGCUGCUAUAAGACUUGUUUCUACUACAACAAAACUCCUUAAAAAGGGAGAGAUGAUGAUUGGGAAGAAUUUCUUCAGGAAGUAAGAAAGUUUUGCUCAAAACACGAUAUUGAGAUACCCAACCUAGAAAGUUUGUACAAGGUUGGUCCUUGUUGUUCUCGUGAUCAAAUUACAAUGGAGCAUCAUUAUCACUUUGAUGUUUUCAAUGAAAUAAUA